CAAGUACCGUGAGGGAAAGUUGCAAAGAACUUUGAAGAGAGAGUUCAAGAGAACGUGGAAUCCUAGUGGUUGAAGCGGAGAGAGUUGACGUAGCUCGGCGGCUAAGCUUACUGUUGCUUCUUCGGAGGCUUCGGUUUGUGGUGUCCGUUUAUAGCUGCGCCGGUAGCGUUGUUCGAGCUUUCUGACCUGGUUAGUGUUGCCCACUUCGGUGGUGUCUUGCUGCCGGCGAGGUCUGCCGUAUUAACGUUUAAUUUGUCUCACGACAAGUACCGGUGUGAAGGUCAGCCACCUUUCCGACCCGUCUUGAAACACGGACCGAGGAGUGUAACUUGUACGCGAGUCAGAGGGUGGAAAACCCUACGGCGCAAUGAAAGUAAAGGUCGGUUAACCGGCUGACAUGGGAUCCUUUCUUCGGAGAGGCGCACCAUGGCCCUGUCUUGAGAGCUUGCUCUUGGGCAGAGGUAGAGCGUACAGGUUGCGACCCGAAAGAUGGUGAACUAUACUUGAGCAGGACGAAGCCAGAGGAAACUCUGGUGGAAGUCCGUAUCGGUUCUGACGUGCAAAUCGAUCGAUAGAGUUGAGUAUAGGGGCGAAAGACUAAUCGAACCAUCUAGUAGCUGGUUCCUUCCGA
Molecule: ribosomal RNA, 631 nt
Filed under: Oscheius myriophilus
Lineage: Eukaryota; Metazoa; Nematoda; Chromadorea; Rhabditida; Rhabditidae
Description: partial large subunit ribosomal RNA
Rfam family: Eukaryotic large subunit ribosomal RNA
Source: RNAcentral